Long non-coding RNA from Mauremys reevesii (Reeves's turtle), 1020 nucleotides. RefSeq lists it as uncharacterized. NCBI's taxonomy places the organism in Eukaryota, Metazoa, Chordata, Testudines, Geoemydidae. The record is from RefSeq and is a predicted model, not a curated record. The transcript has 4 exons.
GGUCUGCGGGACCAGGUGUUCCAUCUCGGGCAAGGAAAACGGGGUUCUGCCCGCCAGGGUGAUGAGGCGGGAGUGGGGUGAGGGCCAAGCCGUUUGCAGCCUCCCAAGCAGACUUGCCCAGUACGGCAUUCAAGAUUUGGUGUUUGAUGGUACUUAGAUGAGUAUCAGGGACGUGUUUUGUGAAUGUCUGUGAUACUACAAGAGAAACAAGGAAUCCCGAGUUAAUAUCUUAGCAGAUACAACAAUGCUGUCCCAUCUCUGCUGCAUACUGGCGAGGGUGAAAGCCGAGACAUCGACGCACAAAUAUACACCUGAAGUUCAGAUUUUGGCUCCUUCAAGACUUAUUCCUGUGAAGGGGUAUCGUAUGGCCCUCAGUAUUGUUAUGGACCCUUAACGCACGUUUUAACCACCAGCACUGGCUGCAGCGGCCUUACAAGGACUGAAACAAACUAGACUGAUCUAACACAUGCUCCUGGUUCACAUUUCUCAACGGACGUGGGAGAAGAUUCCCUUCUAAUGCCUCAUACCAUUUCUGGCAUUUGUUUCUCUUCCCUCCGUGCGAAACGAAAGGGGGUCAGACCUAAAAAUAUUAGAAUGAUCCUUGAAAGGUUUGUCUGAAGCUUGACAGUUAUAAUGGCUCCAGAAGGAAUCGGUUCAGACAUGGGAUCCUGUGCCAAGGGGUCUCCAACUGAUGCCAUGUUUGGGGGAGAAAAGGGGAGAUAGAUAACAUAAACUCCAACAUCUAUGAUCUGAAACAUCUUGUUAUAUGUCACCGGAUCAUACGUUCAACCACAAAAAAACGAUUAAUGACAUUGCAAAUGCCCUCAAUUGUCUGAAACCUCAAUUAUCCACGUCUAGCUAUUCUCCGUCAGGUCAUUUGGGGAACUGAGAUUGCAUUACGUAUAUAAUAUAUGUGGUUCAAGCCAGUGCAAUUUCUUGGAGGUUGCUCCAUCAUUAAUUCCCCCUUUAAUGUCCCUGAGAAUUGGGCAGAACAUGUAGGAGCAUCAUGCCCUGUUUUUA